ACGGGUGAGUAACACGUGGGUAACCUGCCCAUAAGAGGGGGAUAACAUCCGGAAACGGGUGCUAAUACCGCAUAGUUUUCUUGAUCGCAUGAUUGAGAAAGGAAAGACGGCCUUUGUGCUGUCGCUUAUGGAUGGACCCGCGGCGUAUUAGUUAGUUGGUGAGGUAACGGCUCACCAAGACGAUGAUACGUAGCCGACCUGAGAGGGUGAUCGGCCACAUUGGGACUGAGACACGGCCCAAACUCCUACGGGAGGCAGCAGUAGGGAAUCUUCCGCAAUGGACGAAAGUCUGACGGAGCAACGCCGCGUGAGUGAAGAAGGUUUUCGGAUCGUAAAACUCUGUUGUCAGAGAAGAACAAGUCGGAGAGUAACUGCUCCGGCCUUGACGGUAUCUGACCAGAAAGCCACGGCUAACUACGUGCCAGCAGCCGCGGUAAUACGUAGGUGGCAAGCGUUGUCCGGAUUUAUUGGGCGUAAAGCGAGCGCAGGCGGUUCCUUAAGUCUGAUGUGAAAGCCCACGGCUCAACCGUGGAAGGUCAUUGGAAACUGGGGAACUUGAGUGC
Molecule: ribosomal RNA, 563 nt
Filed under: uncultured bacterium
Lineage: Bacteria
Description: bacterial SSU rRNA
Rfam family: Bacterial small subunit ribosomal RNA
Source: RNAcentral